UAAGUAGGCGGUCUAUUAAGUGAGGGGUGAAAUCUUCCGGCUCAAUCGGAAAACUGCCCUUCAAACUAUUAAACUUGAGAUUGGAAGAGGGAAACGGAAUUAGCAGUGUAAGGGUGAAAUCUGUAGAUAUUGCUAAGAACACCAGCGGCGAAGGCGGUUUCCUGGUCCAAAUCUGACGCUAAAUUACGAAAGCUAGGGGAGCAAACAGGAUUAGAUACCCUGGUAGUCC
RNAcentral lists this ribosomal RNA (229 nucleotides) under uncultured bacterium. RNAcentral describes it as "partial 16S ribosomal RNA". It matches the Rfam family "Bacterial small subunit ribosomal RNA", at positions 568 to 796 of the family's 1533-position model. The record is from RNAcentral.